RNAcentral lists this RNase P RNA (348 nucleotides) under human gut metagenome. Its description in RNAcentral is "Bacterial RNase P class A". It matches the Rfam family "Bacterial RNase P class A". From Rfam's summary of the family: Ribonuclease P (RNase P) is a ubiquitous endoribonuclease, found in archaea, bacteria and eukarya as well as chloroplasts and mitochondria. Its best characterised activity is the generation of mature 5'-ends of tRNAs by cleaving the 5'-leader elements of precursor-tRNAs. Cellular RNase Ps are ribonucleoproteins. The record is from RNAcentral.
UAGGCAGUCGCCGGGAAAUUUUUUUCCUGGAGGAAAGUCCGGACUACAUAGAGCGGGGAGUCCAUUGCUGAUAAGGCGGGAUACGGCGGACCAUAUGCCGCCGGAAGGAACAGUGCAACAGAAAGAUACCGCCGCAAUUUUUUUGCGGUAAGGGUGAAAUGGUGGGGUAAAAGCCCACCGGGAUGCGACCGAAGUCGCUCCGCAAGGCAAACCCCUCCCGUAGCAAGACCAAAUAGGGGAUGAUGUCGUGGCUCGCGGCGCUAUCAAUCCCGGGUUCUGGUCGCAUUAGACAGAUGAUUGCCGAUUUUCUCCGGCUUGCCGGAGGAGAUUACAGAAUCCGGCUUAUUC